CGCUAGCUACAGGCUUAACACAUGCAAGUCGAGGGGCAGCAUGGUCUUAUCUUGCUAAGGCCGAUGGCGACCGGCGCACGGGUGAGUAACACGUAUCCAACCUGCCGUCUACUCUUGGACAGCCUUCUGAAAGGAAGAUUAAUACAAGAUGGCAUCAUGAGUCCGCAUGUUCACAUGAUUAAAGGUAUUCCGGUAGACGAUGGGGAUGCGUUCCAUUAGAUAGUAGGCGGGGUAACGGCCCACCUAGUCUUCGAUGGAUAGGGGUUCUGAGAGGAACGUCCCCCACAUUGGAACUGAGACACGGUCCAAACUCCUACGGGAGGCAGCAAUGAGGAAUAUUGGUCAAUGGGCGAGAGCCUGAACCAGCCAAGUAGCGUGAACGAUGACUGCCCUAUGGGUUGUAAACUUCUUUUAUAAAGGAAUAAAGUCGGGCAUGGAUACCCGUUUGCAUGUACUUAAUGAAUAAGGAUCGGCUAACUCCGUGCCAGCAGCCGCGAUAAUACGGAGGAUCCGAGCGUUAUCCGGAUUUAUUGGGUUUAAAGGGAGCGUAGAUGGAUGUUUAAGUCAGUUGUGCAAGUUUGCCGGCUCAACCGUAAAAUUGCAUUUGAUACUGGAUAUCUUGAGUGCAGUUUAGGCAGGCGGAAUUCGUGGUGUAGCUGUGAAAUGCUUAGAUAUCACGAAGAACUCCGAUUGCGAAGGCAGCCUGCUAAGCUGCAACUGACAUUGAGGCUCGAAAGUGUGGGUAUCAAACAGGAUUAGAUACCCUGGUAGUCCACACGGUAAACGAUGAAUACUCGCUGUUUGCGAUAUACUGCAAGCGGCCAAGCGAAAGCGUUAAGUAUUCCACCUGGGGAGUACGCCGGCAACGGUGAAACUCAAAGGAAUUGACGGGGGCCCGCACAAGCGGAGGAACAUGUGGUUUAAUUCGAUGAUACGCGAGGAACCUUACCCGGGCUUAAAUUGCAGAUGAAUUACGGUGAAAGCCGUAAGCCGCAAGGCAUCUGUGAAGGUGCUGCAUGGUUGUCGUCAGCUCGUGCCGUGAGGUGUCGGCUUAAGUGCCAUAACGAGCGCAACCCUUGUUGUCAGUUACUAACAGGUUUUGCCGAGGACUCUGACAAGACUGCCAUCGUAAGAUGUGAGGAAGGUGGGGAUGACGUCAAAUCAGCACGGCCCUUACGUCCGGGGCUACACACGUGUUACAAUGGGGGGUACAGAGGGCCGCUACCACGCGAGUGGAUGCCAAUCCCCAAAACCUCUCUCAGUUCGGACUGGAGUCUGCAACCCGACUCCACGAAGCUGGAUUCGCUAGUAAUCGCGCAUCAGCCACGGCGCGGUGAAUACGUUCCCGGGCCUUGUACACACCGCCCGUCAAGCCAUGGGAGCCGGGGGUACCUGAAGUGCGUAACCGCGAGGAGCGCCCUAGGGUAAAACUGGUGACUGG
This 1441-nucleotide ribosomal RNA is filed under the name uncultured bacterium. RNAcentral's name for it is "bacterial SSU rRNA". It matches the Rfam family "Bacterial small subunit ribosomal RNA". The record is from RNAcentral.